UUCAUGUUCGGUUAAAAUCAAACGGACAUUCUGAAAAAUCGAUAAACUAUUCUUUUUAAUUUCUGUAUAUAUUUUUUUUAUUAACCAUGGAUACCUCAAAAUUGGUGCAAGUUAUGAAUCAAAGGAAUCUCACAAGUCUUAGAGAACCUAGGGGCUUUAUAAAAUUGAUACAAAUUAUAUUAGCCAUAUUCGCUUUCGCCACCACCACCGGACAUCGAUCGUAUUUCACUUUCCAAGUCACCUGUAAUAACAGUGUAGUCAAAAUCAUGAAAGGAAUUUUCCAUUAUCCAUACAAGUUUAA
Gordionus sp. m RMFG-2023 is the source of this 301-nucleotide long non-coding RNA. RefSeq lists it as uncharacterized. The record is from RefSeq and is a predicted model, not a curated record. The transcript has 3 exons. NCBI's taxonomy places the organism in Eukaryota, Metazoa, Nematomorpha, Gordioida, Chordodea, Parachordodidae.